RNAcentral lists this ribosomal RNA (291 nucleotides) under Triticum aestivum (bread wheat). RNAcentral's name for it is "partial small subunit ribosomal RNA". Lineage: Eukaryota; Viridiplantae; Streptophyta; Magnoliopsida; Poales; Poaceae. The record is from RNAcentral.
AUGCUCGUUCAUGACUUCCACCUAGAUGUGCACACCGAGGACGAAAUAGUGUGGAAGCACUCCAACGAUGAUGUUUACUCGGCAGCCACAGUAUACAAGGCCCAAUUCUUGGGCAUGGUCAUAUCUCCUUUGGACCGCAUGAUUUGGAAGGCUUGGGCACCUCCAAAAGUCAAGUUCUUCGCUUGGUUGCCUUGCCUUUGCAAGACCGGAUUUGGACCGCCGAUACGUUGGAAAAGAGGGGUUGAGAAAAUUGUGGUCUUUGCCCCUUUGCAAGAGGGUGCAAGAAUCUAG